This is a long non-coding RNA of Bombus terrestris (buff-tailed bumblebee), 283 nucleotides long. RefSeq lists it as uncharacterized. The record is from RefSeq and is a predicted model, not a curated record. Lineage: Eukaryota; Metazoa; Arthropoda; Insecta; Hymenoptera; Apidae. The transcript has 3 exons.
AGCGUCAUCGAUUAUGGGCACAUAUUGGUAACGGUGCGAGGUUGCGUCCCCUCACGAGAAAUCGAUGGAUACUGCCAAUUAGAGGAAUAUUUUCAGGGAUCCAGCAUUGCGUGUUCUUUCUGCGAAGGCUACGCUUAAAUAUUAAGUUGCAACAUACGAUACGAUCGAUUCCACAAACACGAAAAAUGUUUCAGAUUCUAGCGUAGUUAAAUACGUUAGUAGUCUGUAAUCAAUGUUAAUAUUUUUAUGAUUAAUAUUUUAAAAUAAAUGUAAAUAAUAAUUC